GGAAGCUUAGGUUAACAUAAACCAAGAGCCUUCAAAGCUCUAAACAUGGAUUCAACCCCAUAACUUCUG
Molecule: transfer RNA, 69 nt
Filed under: Anolis frenatus (bridled anole)
Lineage: Eukaryota; Metazoa; Chordata; Lepidosauria; Squamata; Anolidae
Also listed under: 1 other name
Description: tRNA-Trp
Rfam family: tRNA
About the family: Transfer RNA (tRNA) molecules are approximately 80 nucleotides in length. Their secondary structure includes four short double-helical elements and three loops (D, anti-codon, and T loops). Further hydrogen bonds mediate the characteristic L-shaped molecular structure. tRNAs have two regions of fundamental functional importance: the anti-codon, which is responsible for specific mRNA codon recognition, and the 3' end, to which the tRNAs corresponding amino acid is attached (by aminoacyl-tRNA synthetases). tRNAs cope with the degeneracy of the genetic code in two manners: having more than one tRNA (with a specific anti-codon) for a particular amino acid; and 'wobble' base-pairing, i.e. permitting non-standard base-pairing at the 3rd anti-codon position.
Source: RNAcentral